RNAcentral lists this ribosomal RNA (503 nucleotides) under uncultured bacterium. RNAcentral's name for it is "bacterial SSU rRNA". It matches the Rfam family "Bacterial small subunit ribosomal RNA", at positions 28 to 521 of the family's 1533-position model. The record is from RNAcentral.
GAUGAACGCUAGCUACAGGCUUAACACAUGCAAGUCGAGGGGCAGCAUGAACUUAGCUUGCUAAGUUUGAUGGCGACCGGCGCACGGGUGAGUAACACGUAUCCAACCUGCCGAUGACUCGGGGAUAGCCUUUCGAAAGAAAGAUUAAUACCCGAUGGCAUAGUUCUUCCGCAUGGUAGAACUAUUAAAGAAUUUCGGUCAUCGAUGGGGAUGCGUUCCAUUAGGUUGUUGGCGGGGUAACGGCCCACCAAGCCUUCGAUGGAUAGGGGUUCUGAGAGGAAGGUCCCCCCACAUUGGAACUGAGACACGGUCCAAAACUCCUACGGGAGCAGCAGUGAGGAAUAUUGGUCAAUGGACGAGAGUCUGAACCAGCCAAGUAGCGUGAAGGAUGACUGCCCUAUGGGUUGUAAACUUCUUUUAUAAAGGAUAAAGUCGGGUAUGUAUACCCGUUUGCAUGUACUUUAUGAAUAAGGAUCGGCUAACUCCGUGCCAGCAGCCGCGGU